CAACACCCCAUGGUCAGAUCCAGGCUUUGCGAGGUCUGAAGUAAUAAUUUAUAGCACACUUCAAUGGUAGCUGUUAGAACAAGGUUACUUCCAGGGUGAAAGGA
This 104-nucleotide long non-coding RNA is filed under the name Taeniopygia guttata (zebra finch). Its description in RNAcentral is "lncRNA (ENSTGUG00000022159.1)". The record is from RNAcentral. Lineage: Eukaryota; Metazoa; Chordata; Aves; Passeriformes; Estrildidae.